RNAcentral lists this ribosomal RNA (826 nucleotides) under Xenodidymella camporesii. RNAcentral describes it as "partial large subunit ribosomal RNA". It matches the Rfam family "Eukaryotic large subunit ribosomal RNA", at positions 65 to 909 of the family's 3401-position model. Lineage: Eukaryota; Fungi; Ascomycota; Dothideomycetes; Pleosporales; Didymellaceae. The record is from RNAcentral.
CCAACAGGGAUUGCCCUAGUAACGGCGAGUGAAGCGGCAACAGCUCAAAUUUGAAAUCUGGCGUCUUUGGCGUCCGAGUUGUAAUUUGCAGAGGGCGCUUUGGCAUCGGCAGCGGUCCAAGUUCCUUGGAACAGGACGUCACAGAGGGUGAGAAUCCCGUACGUGGUCGCUAGCCUUUACCGUGUAAAGCCCCUUCGACGAGUCGAGUUGUUUGGGAAUGCAGCUCUAAAUGGGAGGUAAAUUUCUUCUAAAGCUAAAUACUGGCCAGAGACCGAUAGCGCACAAGUAGAGUGAUCGAAAGAUGAAAAGCACUUUGGAAAGAGAGUUAAAAAGCACGUGAAAUUGUUGAAAGGGAAGCGCUUGCAGCCAGACUUGCCUGUAGUUGCUCAUCCGGGUUUUUACCCGGUGCACUCUUCUGCGGGCAGGCCAGCAUCAGUUUGGGCGGUUGGAUAAAGGUCUCUGUCAUGUACCUCUCUUCGGGGAGAACUUAUAGGGGAGACGACAUGCAACCAGCCUGGACUGAGGUCCGCGCAUCUGCUAGGAUGCUGGCGUAAUGGCUGUAAGCGGCCCGUCUUGAAACACGGACCAAGGAGUCUAACAUCUAUGCGAGUGUUUGGGUGUCAAGCCCGAACGCGUAAUGAAAGUGAACGGAGGUGGGAACCCCUCGGGGUGCACCAUCGACCGAUCCUGAUGUCUUCGGAUGGAUUUGAGUAAGAGCAUAGCUGUUGGGACCCGAAAGAUGGUGAACUAUGCUUGAAUAGGGUGAAGCCAGAGGAAACUCUGGUGGAGGCUCGCAGCGGUUCUGACGUGCAAAUCGAUCGUCAAA